Molecule: non-coding RNA, 21 nt
Filed under: Arabidopsis thaliana (thale cress)
Lineage: Eukaryota; Viridiplantae; Streptophyta; Magnoliopsida; Brassicales; Brassicaceae
Source: RNAcentral
GCUAGAGGUGUCAGAAAAGUU